UUUCAGUUGGAUGCCAGGCAUGGUCAGUCGUACCUUGGGGUGCUGGGUGCUUUGUCUUCCUACAGAUAUUUUUAUGCCUUCAGGGCUGGAAAGGAACUUUCAUCAGUAUAGCUGUGGUGGGAAGCCCCGUCCACAGCUGUCUCGUCCUCUGACUUUUGCGAUAAGCCCCAUUUUGUUGUUGUUGCAUAAAACUGUUUCUAUCAUUCUGUUCCUCGCGCGCCAGAGCCAGAGCGGAUGGCAUCCAGCAGGGCCUGCCGCGCAUCCACCGCGCCGCCGCAGGGGCCCUGAGCUGGUCCUGGGGGCCGCCAUGGGUGCAGGGGGAGCCUGGGGCAUCGGCAGGGGCCCAGGGGCCUCAGGAGGCACUGCAGCCCAGCAGCCCCAGAGCUCUGCGGAGGCCGAAGAGGACACCUGGCAACAAGACACGCAGUGACCGCCACUGCCUUGGCCCUGCCACCUUGGAAUCCCGUCCUGCAUGCCAGGCCACAGGAAGGUGACCAGGAUCCGCCUCUCUAACCAACCACCUGGGCAGUGCCGUCAGCACAGGGUGGACCCAAUGGCGAGCAUCCCCAGAGGUGCUCCCAAGGGCACAGCUCCCAGCGACCUGUCUUGCCCUGGCCUCCAGCCCCCUCUGUGUGGGCCCAGGGAGUUGUGGCUCAGACACCUGGCCUGAGCGGCCCUGUCCCAGGCACAGGGCCAGGCCGCACCU
RNAcentral lists this long non-coding RNA (706 nucleotides) under Heterocephalus glaber (naked mole-rat). RNAcentral describes it as "lncRNA (ENSHGLG00100042289.1)". Lineage: Eukaryota; Metazoa; Chordata; Mammalia; Rodentia; Bathyergidae. The record is from RNAcentral.